Molecule: transfer RNA, 71 nt
Filed under: bacterium
Lineage: Bacteria
Description: tRNA-Lys
Rfam family: tRNA
About the family: Transfer RNA (tRNA) molecules are approximately 80 nucleotides in length. Their secondary structure includes four short double-helical elements and three loops (D, anti-codon, and T loops).
Source: RNAcentral
GCUCCCAUAGCUUAGUGGUAAAGCACUCGCCUCUUAAGCGAAGUACCUUGGUUCGAUUCCAAGUGGGAGCA